Molecule: long non-coding RNA, 243 nt
Filed under: Mus caroli (Ryukyu mouse)
Lineage: Eukaryota; Metazoa; Chordata; Mammalia; Rodentia; Muridae
Description: lncRNA (MGP_CAROLIEiJ_G0006443.1)
Source: RNAcentral
GCCGUUGACAGAAUGCAGGCGGGAAGCUUCAGUUUGGGUAGAGAUGUAGCAUCAAACAUUCACGGAUGUCCAGGGAGCACGGGCACACAGGCUGCUGGCCAGAGCAGACUAUUAUGAGCACAAUACACUAGUCAUGUCGGAGAUAACAGCUUGACCUCAGCGUGGCUGCAAAAUGAAGCCACGUUUGGCUUUCCUAAGCCAUCAGGAGGCUGCUCACAGUGCUGCUGGACUCUUUAAGCCCUG